RNAcentral lists this ribosomal RNA (470 nucleotides) under uncultured bacterium. Its description in RNAcentral is "partial 16S ribosomal RNA". It matches the Rfam family "Bacterial small subunit ribosomal RNA", at positions 28 to 507 of the family's 1533-position model. The record is from RNAcentral.
GACGAACGCUGGCGGCGUGCCUAACACAUGCAAGUCGAACGGUGAACGAGGGAGCUUGCUCCCUCCGGUUCAGUGGCGAACGGGUGAGUAACACGUGAGCAGUCUGCCCCGUACUCUGGGAUAAUCAUUGGAAACGACGUCUAAUACCGGAUAAGACGCCGGAGGGCAUCCUCCCCGCGUGGAAAGAACUUCGGGUCGGGGUGAGCUCGCGGCCUGUCGGCUUGUUGGGGCGGUACCGGCACACCGACGCGACGCCCGGUCGCCGGCCUGAGAGGGUGGACGGCCACGCUGGGACUGGGAGAAGGCCCAGACUCCUACGGGAGGCAGCGGUGGGGAAUAUUACACAAUGGGAGCAAGCCUGGUGCGGCAACGCCGCGUGGGGGAAGACGGCAUUCGGGUUGUAAACCUCUUUUAGCAGGGAAGAAGCGAAAGUGACGGUACCUGCAGAAAAAGCACCGGCUAACUACGUG